UCCCUGGUAGCUCAGAUGGUAAAGAAUCUGCCUGCACUGCAGAAGACCUGGGUUCGAUCCCUAGGUAGGGAA
Molecule: transfer RNA, 72 nt
Filed under: Bos taurus (domestic cattle)
Lineage: Eukaryota; Metazoa; Chordata; Mammalia; Artiodactyla; Bovidae
Also listed under: 3 other names
Rfam family: tRNA
About the family: Transfer RNA (tRNA) molecules are approximately 80 nucleotides in length. Their secondary structure includes four short double-helical elements and three loops (D, anti-codon, and T loops).
Source: Rfam by way of RNAcentral